CUUGUACUUUUGGUCGACAGGUCAACUCACGGACUCGUUGAUGGUAAAUUCUUUCUCAGAGGUGCCCGGGGAAAUCACUUUGGGCUUCAUGAAGUCCUUGAAGCUGCUGGACCUCUGCAGGCAGUGGGCGUGCCCCAGUGGACCGUCCUGGUGACGUCAGUGGUGCCGUCUCUGAAAGUGUGCAGACGAGUGAUGACAUGGAUCUACAUUUAGGAGGUUGUGGAGGUCCUCAGUGUGUUGUGACUCACAGAUAUUGACCACCAGAGUCCACUAAGUACAUCUCAUCUGCUGUCAGCUUCCUGUUUGUUUCCACUGUGGGGCUGCAGCGUGCAGAAACAGAUGAUAUGACGACAUCUCGUACAUUAAAGUAUAUAUCUUACUACUGCACAA
Long non-coding RNA from Nerophis ophidion (straightnose pipefish), 390 nucleotides. RefSeq lists it as uncharacterized. The record is from RefSeq and is a predicted model, not a curated record. The transcript has 2 exons. Lineage: Eukaryota; Metazoa; Chordata; Actinopteri; Syngnathiformes; Syngnathidae.